RNAcentral lists this ribosomal RNA (440 nucleotides) under uncultured Verrucomicrobiaceae bacterium. Its description in RNAcentral is "bacterial SSU rRNA". It matches the Rfam family "Bacterial small subunit ribosomal RNA", at positions 349 to 782 of the family's 1533-position model. Lineage: Bacteria; Pseudomonadati; Verrucomicrobiota; Verrucomicrobiia; Verrucomicrobiales; Verrucomicrobiaceae. The record is from RNAcentral.
CAGCAGUCGAGAAUCAUUCACAAUGGGGGAAACCCUGAUGGUGCGACGCCGCGUGGAGGAUAAGGUCUUCGGAUUGUAAACUCCUGUCAUGUGAGAGCAAGGCUUUAGCGUUAAUAGCGUUGGAGUUUGAUAGUAUCACAAGAGGAAGAGACGGCUAACUCUGUGCCAGCAGCCGCGGUAAUACAGAGGUCUCAAGCGUUGUUCGGAAUCACUGGGCGUAAAGGGUGCGUAGGCGGCUUGGUAAGUCAGAUGUGAAAGCUCAGGGCUCAACCCUGAAAUUGCAUCCGAUACUGCCAGGCUAGAGGACUGGAGAGGUGUCUAGAAUUCUCGGUGUAGCAGUGAAAUGCGUAGAUAUCGAGAGGAAUACCAAUGGCGAAGGCAGGACACUGGACAGUAUCUGACGCUGAGGCACGAAGGCUAGGGUAGCGAACGGGAUUAGA